RNAcentral lists this transfer RNA (76 nucleotides) under Bacillota bacterium. Its description in RNAcentral is "tRNA-Met". It matches the Rfam family "tRNA". From Rfam's summary of the family: Transfer RNA (tRNA) molecules are approximately 80 nucleotides in length. Their secondary structure includes four short double-helical elements and three loops (D, anti-codon, and T loops). Lineage: Bacteria; Bacillati; Bacillota. The record is from RNAcentral.
GGGCCUAUAGCUCAGUCGGUAGAGCAACCGGCUCAUAACCGGUCGGUCCCUGGUUCGAGUCCAGGUGGGCCCACCA